RNAcentral lists this ribosomal RNA (447 nucleotides) under Bacillus amyloliquefaciens. Its description in RNAcentral is "bacterial SSU rRNA". It matches the Rfam family "Bacterial small subunit ribosomal RNA", at positions 202 to 635 of the family's 1533-position model. The record is from RNAcentral. Lineage: Bacteria; Bacillati; Bacillota; Bacilli; Caryophanales; Bacillaceae.
AAAAGGUGGCUUCGGCUACCACUUACAGAUGGACCCGCGGCGCAUUAGCUAGUUGGUGAGGUAACGGCUCACCAAGGCAACGAUGCGUAGCCGACCUGAGAGGGUGAUCGGCCACACUGGGACUGAGACACGGCCCAGACUCCUACGGGAGGCAGCAGUAGGGAAUCUUCCGCAAUGGACGAAAGUCUGACGGAGCAACGCCGCGUGAGUGAUGAAGGUUUUCGGAUCGUAAAGCUCUGUUGUUAGGGAAGAACAAGUGCCGUUCAAAUAGGGCGGCACCUUGACGGUACCUAACCAGAAAGCCACGGCUAACUACGUGCCAGCAGCCGCGGUAAUACGUAGGUGGCAAGCGUUGUCCGGAAUUAUUGGGCGUAAAGGGCUCGCAGGCGGUUUCUUAAGUCUGAUGUGAAAGCCCCCGGCUCAACCGGGGAGGGUCAUUGGAAACUG